Molecule: non-coding RNA, 805 nt
Organism: Cyanistes caeruleus (blue tit)
Lineage: Eukaryota; Metazoa; Chordata; Aves; Passeriformes; Paridae
Source: RefSeq, a predicted model, not a curated record
CUCGCGGGCUGGGGCGCCUGAGGGAGGGGCUGCGGCUUCUCGCCCUCACCCUCCCGAGGCUCCUCAGGGCGACCGUGCCUGCCCUACCUCAUCCAACCGAGGUUCCUCAGAGCGACCCUGUCUCCCUUGGUUUCCCCGAGGUUCCUCAGCUCUCCUCAGGGCGCUAUUCCCGCCCGCCUUCAUCCUCCCGAGACGCCUCAGGGCAUCGCUUUCGCCCACCCUAACGGCUGCCCCCACUCUCCUCGGACUCCUGAGGGAGCCCUUCACACCUUCCCUCAGCCGCCCUCGCCGCGGGCUGCCCACGCCUUAGCUACUGCACAGCUGUCCCUCUUCCCCGGGGCAUCGCUGCGUGAGGGUCUUCACCUGUUUGGUCCUCCUUUCUCCUGAGGGUCUCCUGUGUGCUUGCCCUGGGGAGCCCUUCCCCUGCCCGGUGCUGUUCCCAGUCAGGAGCUGCAGGGAAGGAGACACUUCCCAGGCAGGACGUGCAGGGAAGGAGAGGUUUUUGGAGGUGUGGGUAUACUCACACCACCCCCUGCUUGCUGGCAGGGCAAGUGAAGGGCCCGGGUUCAUCAUCAGAACGAACUGUACUCAAAGAUGGAGCAGACCCCAAGGAUCUGAGAGUGCUCUGGGAAACGAGAAACAAAUGCAGAAGGAAGAAGCUGGCUUGAUGUGGCAGUCCAAUUAUCCUGUCCCAGUGAAUGAAAAGGCACUGUUUACAACGGCAAGGUAAGGCAGAAAAGUACUUUUUUUAUCAUCAUUCUGUUUCCUGAUACGUGGAGAUGGUUCCAGUGGAGAGAACUGGUGA